CUCUCUGGCUCUCUCUUUGUCUCUGUUCUUUUCUUUUGACCUUCCUUUUUACUCUCUUCUUUUAAUCCGCAAUAACAAUCUAAUCAGCUUCACAUCCAGUUCCAAAGGGAAAAAAUUGGGAAAUUUUUCAUCCUGAAUUUUGAUCUUAACCACAGUCACGGAGAUCUAAAUUUCUAACUUAUCAGCAACAAUGUCCUUUGCUUGGGAUUACCAUUUGCAAGGUGGCACUCUCCAUGAUGAUCCGUGGUUCUCAUUCAAUAGGAACAACCACAAUAAAAGGAGCAGGAGUAUGAACACAAAUAGGGACAACGAUUACAUUGCACCCUUAGUUGCACCCUUAGUUAUUCGAAUGCCAAUGAUAAGGUACGUAAUGUGUGAGCCGAGAGUCCUCCUCACUCGUUAUGAAUAUUUAGGAAUCGACUAACACCUCUUCGGAAUUAGAGUCCUAAUUCGAGGAGUGAGAAACCUAACAAAUACAUAACAAGUUAAACAAACAUAACAUCAAAUCAAUUCACUGUAUAGUCAUCCCAUCUUCUUAUGUCCUUGGGAAAUCCAAGAUGGUGAAAUAUUAAACGUUCAUUUUAUCAAUAAUAGGAACUAACAUCAUGACUUUAACCCCAAAAUUAUCAAUCUCAAAUUAUGAAGAGUACAUCGUUAAACCUGCUUAUCCUUAUUGAGGGACGAGGUGGGGUGUCUAACACCUUCCUCAUCCGUGCAUGGACCCCGAACUUUAAAUCUCUGUUUUUCGAGUGGUUCUCAUAAAUUUUUACAAAUGAUUUUUUUUUUAUUUCCCUUACAAUUAAAGUGGCGUCUCCUCACUUUUUCCACUUCGGUGAGAAUCGUCUGGCGACUGCAAAACCCUUGUGACAAAGUUAGUGUAAUAAAAUGAUUUUGUAGAAGUUGUAUCCAUUUAUCACUGAAUGUUGAAUUAUAUAAGUGCUGAAAUAGAAGUUUUAUAGCUUUGAUGUUGUAUUAUGCCAAUUGAAGAAAUGAAGGGAGGCAAUAAGUGUGAUUUGAGAAAUUAUAGGGACUAAAUAGGUAUGUAUUUUAAAAUUAUAGGGGCUAAAUAAUUGUCUUAUUCAA
This 1083-nucleotide unclassified non-coding RNA is filed under the name Hevea brasiliensis (rubber tree). The record is from RNAcentral. Lineage: Eukaryota; Viridiplantae; Streptophyta; Magnoliopsida; Malpighiales; Euphorbiaceae.